GCUAUCAGCCAGGUCAUCGCUCUUUUAAUUAAGGGAGGAAAGUCCGGACAGCAAAGGGCAACACACCGGUUAAGCGCCGGCUGUUUGUACAACCAAACAAGAGAAAGUGCCACAGAAAAUAACUUUCCCGUUUUACCGGGAUAAAGGUGAAAACGUGAGGUAAGAGCUCACGAUUACUGCGGGUAACCGUAGUAGUGGGUAAACCUUGUGUGCUGUAAUGCCAUGUACACCAGCGCCGAGAGCGGCUCGCUCAAUGUAACGGUUCGCCGAUGCAGCGUUGGAGGGUGGGCAGCAAGAUCACAAUAGUAAUAUUGUGGCCAGAUAAAUGAUGGCCGUUCCUUCGGGAAUUACAGAAUCCGGCUUAUCGGCUGAUAGCUUUU
Molecule: RNase P RNA, 380 nt
Filed under: Ferruginibacter sp.
Lineage: Bacteria; Pseudomonadati; Bacteroidota; Chitinophagia; Chitinophagales; Chitinophagaceae
Description: RNase P RNA component class A
Rfam family: Bacterial RNase P class A
About the family: Ribonuclease P (RNase P) is a ubiquitous endoribonuclease, found in archaea, bacteria and eukarya as well as chloroplasts and mitochondria. Its best characterised activity is the generation of mature 5'-ends of tRNAs by cleaving the 5'-leader elements of precursor-tRNAs. Cellular RNase Ps are ribonucleoproteins.
Source: RNAcentral